This 775-nucleotide ribosomal RNA is filed under the name uncultured Neocallimastigales. RNAcentral describes it as "partial large subunit ribosomal RNA". It matches the Rfam family "Eukaryotic large subunit ribosomal RNA", at positions 24 to 629 of the family's 3401-position model. Lineage: Eukaryota; Fungi; Neocallimastigomycota; Neocallimastigomycetes; Neocallimastigales. The record is from RNAcentral.
GUAGUCUCGCACAGAUGCAUAUCAAUAAGCGGAGGAAAAGAAACUAACAAGGAUUCCCCUAGUAACGGCGAGUGAAGCGGGAAGAGCUCAAAUUUGAAAUCUUAAAGGGUUCCCCUUUACGAAUUGUAGUUUAAAGAAGUGGUUUCUGUUGAGGUUCUGGUAAAAGUUCUUUGGAAUAGGACAUCAUAGAGGGUGAGAAUCCCGUAUUUGACCUUUACUUUCAACUUUGUGAUACACUUUCAAAGAGUCGGAUUGUUUGGGAAUGCAGUCCAAAAUGGGUGGUAAAUUUCAUCUAAAGCUAAAUAUUGGCGAGAGACCGAUAGCGAACAAGUACCGUGAGGGAAAGAUGAAAAGAACUUUGAAAAGAGAGUUAAACAGUACGUGAAAUUGUCAAAAGGGAAGCGUUUGACACCAGUGCUGUUUUUCUGAAAAUCAAUUAAAGAACUGUUUAUGCUAAGCUGUUUAGACUUUAUCAGCUAUCUGUUUAGUUUUGAGCUUUUCUUUAAUGCACUUUUCAGUUAACAAGUCAACAUCAAUUUCUUUUGCUGUAAAAAAGCUUGAGGAAGGUGGCUUGAGAUUCGUCUUAAGUGUUUAUAGCCUCUUGCCUAUGCAGUCGGAGAGAUUGAGGUCCUGCAGCGUAGAUCCUUCGGGGCUAAAUGCAUUUGUGCUAAGUUAUAGCAUUUUAUAGACAACUUGUCGACUAUGAUUUGUCUUGUAGCUUACUCGCUUAUGUUAUUUUACCUACGCUUAGGAUGUUGACAGCAGUAUAGACUGU